Molecule: ribosomal RNA, 110 nt
Filed under: Staphylococcus aureus
Lineage: Bacteria; Bacillati; Bacillota; Bacilli; Caryophanales; Staphylococcaceae
Description: partial 23S ribosomal RNA
Rfam family: Bacterial large subunit ribosomal RNA
Source: RNAcentral
CCAACUUCGGUUAUAAGAUCCCUCAAAGAUGAUGAGGUUAAUAGGUUCGAGGUGGAAGCAUGGUGACAUGUGGAGCUGACGAAUACUAAUCGAUCGAAGACUUAAUCAAA